GUCCACGCCCUAAACGAUGGAUGUUAGUUUCUUGAAGUGUCGACCCUUCAGGUGACGUAGCUAACGCAUUAAACAUCCCGCCUGGGUAGUACGGCCGCAAGGUUGAAACUCAAAAGAAUAGACCGGAGCUCGCACAAGCGGUGGAGCAUGAGGUUUAAUUCGACGGCACGCGAUGAACCUUACCAAGGCUUGAAACGUUAACGAAAGCUUUUCGAAAGAUAAGCCCUCCGCAAGGACGUUAGCACAGGUGCUGCAUGGUCGUCGU
This 265-nucleotide ribosomal RNA is filed under the name uncultured bacterium. RNAcentral describes it as "partial 16S ribosomal RNA". It matches the Rfam family "Bacterial small subunit ribosomal RNA", at positions 793 to 1055 of the family's 1533-position model. The record is from RNAcentral.